AUGGCGAUGGUGUUGGAUGCUUUUGCAUCCUACAUCGGGGACUACCUCAAGCAGGUGGUACAAGAUGAGCUCGGAACGAUGCUGGGCGUCUCCAGCGAGAUCGACAAGUUGGGCGACAAGCUUCUGGACCUUAAGAACUUCCUCGCAGAUGCUGAUAGGAGGAACAUCACCGACGAGACUGUCAAAGUCUGGGUGGGGCAGCUCAAGCGCGCCAUGUACGAAGCUGCUGACAUCCUCGACCUCUGCCAGCUGAAAGCUAUGGAGAAGCGUGGGCCAUCCUCUGUAGAAGCAGGGUGUUGCAAUCCCUUGCUCUUCUGCUUGCGGAAUCCUUUCCAUGCUCGUGAGAUCGGCACUCGCAUCAAGGCGCUCAACCAGAGGCUCGACUCCAUCAAGCAGCGGAGUGCUGCUUUUAACUUCAUCAAUCUUGGGUCCUACGAGGAACAUAGCAGCUCUCGUCAUGGUAAUCCCAGCCGUGAGACGUCAGGGGAGCUCGACAGGUCAGGUGUGGUUGGGGAUAAGAUCGAAGAAGAUACAAGAGCACUGGUGGCCCGGAUCACACGCUCUGGAAAUGAGGCCAGCAACAACAUUAUGGUGGUCGCUAUCGUAGGUGUUGGUGGGAUUGGCAAGACCACCCUCGCUCAAAAGGUCUUCAACGACGAGGCCAUCCAAGGUGACUUCAGCAAAAAGAUAUGGUUGAGCGUCAACCAAAACUUUAGUGAGGUUGAGCUGCUGAGAAGAGCCAUCAUCGAAGUCAGAGGAGACACUUAG
RNAcentral lists this ribosomal RNA (768 nucleotides) under Triticum aestivum (bread wheat). RNAcentral describes it as "partial small subunit ribosomal RNA". Lineage: Eukaryota; Viridiplantae; Streptophyta; Magnoliopsida; Poales; Poaceae. The record is from RNAcentral.